GAUGAACGCUGGCGGCGUGCCUAAUACAUGCAAGUCGAGCGAACAGACGAGGAGCUUGCUCCUUUGACGUUAGCGGCGGACGGGUGAGUAACACGUGGGUAACCUACCUAUAAGACUGGGAUAACUUCGGGAAACCGGAGCUAAUACCGGAUAAUAUUUCGAACCGCAUGGUUCGAUAGUGAAAGAUGGCUUUGCUAUCACUUAUAGAUGGACCUGCGCCGUAUUAGCUAGUUGGUAAGGUAACGGCUUACCAAGGCAACGAUACGUAGCCGACCUGAGAGGGUGGUCGGCCACACUGGAACUGAGACACGGUCCAGACGCCUACGGGAGGCAGCAGUAGGGAAUCUUCCGCAAUGGGCGAAAGCCUGACGGAGCAACGCCGCGUGAGUGAUGAAGGUCUUCGGAUCGUAAAACUCUGUUAUUAGGGAAGAACAAACGUGUAAGUAACUGUGCACGUCUUGACGGUACCUAAUCAGAAAGCCACGGCUAACUACGUG
RNAcentral lists this ribosomal RNA (497 nucleotides) under uncultured bacterium. RNAcentral describes it as "partial 16S ribosomal RNA". It matches the Rfam family "Bacterial small subunit ribosomal RNA", at positions 28 to 507 of the family's 1533-position model. The record is from RNAcentral.